AAUCCAUGAUUGGGGCACUUGCGAAGAAAACUUUUGUAUCGGUCCCAACAUUCAUACAUAUACUCUUCAUCGUCUUGGUGAAAAGAUGAUAUGGCAUUUCUAAGAUG
Hibiscus syriacus is the source of this 107-nucleotide small nucleolar RNA. NCBI's taxonomy places the organism in Eukaryota, Viridiplantae, Streptophyta, Magnoliopsida, Malvales, Malvaceae. The record is from RefSeq and is a predicted model, not a curated record.